This 256-nucleotide ribosomal RNA is filed under the name uncultured bacterium. RNAcentral's name for it is "partial 16S ribosomal RNA". It matches the Rfam family "Bacterial small subunit ribosomal RNA", at positions 524 to 776 of the family's 1533-position model. The record is from RNAcentral.
UACGGAGGGUGCGAGCGUUGUCCGGAAUCAUUGGGCGUAAAGGGCGCGUAGGUGGCCCGGUCAGUUCGUGGUGAAAGCGCGGGGCUCAACCCUGCGUCGGCCAUGAAUACUGCCGCGGCUCGAGCACUGUAGAGGCAGGCGGAAUUCCGGGUGUAGCGGUGGAAUGCGUAGAGAUCCGGAAGAACACCGGUGGCGAAGGCGGCCUGCUGGGCAGUUUUGCUGACACUGAGGCGCGACAGCGUGGGGAGCAAACAGG